This 483-nucleotide ribosomal RNA is filed under the name uncultured bacterium. RNAcentral's name for it is "bacterial SSU rRNA". It matches the Rfam family "Bacterial small subunit ribosomal RNA", at positions 28 to 526 of the family's 1533-position model. The record is from RNAcentral.
GACGAACGCUGGCGGCGUGCUUAACACAUGCAAGUCGAGCGGAAAGGCCCUUUCGGGGGUACUCGAGCGGCGAACGGGUGAGUAACACGUGAGUAAUCUGCCCUUCACUCUGGGAUAGCCACCGGAAACGGUGAUUAAUACCGGAUACGACCACUUCAUGCAUGUGAGGUGGUGGAAACUUUUUUGGGUGGGGGAUGUGCUCGCGGCCUAUCAGCUUGUUGGUGGGGUAAUGGCCUACCAAGGCUUCGACGGGUAGCCGGCCUGAGAGGGUGACCGGCCACACUGGGACUGAGACACGGCCCAGACUCCUACGGGAGGCAGCAGUGGGGAAUAUUGGACAAUGGGCGGAAGCCUGAUCCAGCAACGCCGCGUGAGGGAUGACGGCCUUCGGGUUGUAAACCUCUUUCAGCACCGACGAAGCGCAAGUGACGGUAGGUGCAGAAGAAGGACCGGCCAACUACGUGCCAGCAGCCGCCGUAAAAC